RNAcentral lists this transfer RNA (73 nucleotides) under Mus musculus (house mouse). RNAcentral's name for it is "tRNA-Ser". The record is from RNAcentral. Lineage: Eukaryota; Metazoa; Chordata; Mammalia; Rodentia; Muridae.
GGCAAGGUGGCUCAGUGGGUAAGAGCACUGACUGCUCUUCUGAAGGUUCUGAGUUCAAAUCCCAGCGACCUCA